RNAcentral lists this long non-coding RNA (216 nucleotides) under Panax ginseng (ginseng). RNAcentral describes it as "long non-coding RNA (PGIN_LNC011278)". The record is from RNAcentral. Lineage: Eukaryota; Viridiplantae; Streptophyta; Magnoliopsida; Apiales; Araliaceae.
UACUCCAAUAAACCCUAAGAGGGUAACUAUGAAGGCGUGGAGGGGUAGACGAAUCCCCUUCUCCAGCAGAGUAGUCGGCAUAGCGACCCAGCCGUCUGGUCGCUGGUACAUUCGCUCCUCAGCAGCUGGAGCCCUCAUAGCAAAGUUAUCCGGAACAUGGUAUCGAAUCCGGAGAGCUCGUAAUUCAGAUUCAGAGACGGUGGAGGUGAUGUUAGC